GCAGUCGUGGCCGAGUGGUUAAGGCGAUGGUCUAGAAAUUCAUUGGGGUCUUUUCGCACAGGUUCGAAUCCUGUCGACUGCG
Ixodes scapularis (black-legged tick) is the source of this 82-nucleotide non-coding RNA. Lineage: Eukaryota; Metazoa; Arthropoda; Arachnida; Ixodida; Ixodidae. The record is from Rfam.